AUGAAAUCUAACUACUAAAUUCACGGUAAAUCUCAUCUGAUUAUAAAGAAAAUGAUGCAUUUUAUAAUUAAUCUACCUAAAUCACAAGUUUUAUCACAAAUGAACCAUGGCCUGUGAUAAAUGAGAAGACUGUUAUUCCAAGGAUGCAAAUAGAAAUUCAUCCUCGAGAUGGUUAAAAAUAAAUAUUAAAAAGAAGAUAGAUGAAAUCCUG
This 211-nucleotide unclassified non-coding RNA is filed under the name Hevea brasiliensis (rubber tree). Lineage: Eukaryota; Viridiplantae; Streptophyta; Magnoliopsida; Malpighiales; Euphorbiaceae. The record is from RNAcentral.